UACAGAGGUCUCAAGCGUUGUUCGGAUUCAUUGGGCGUAAAGGGUGCGUAGGCGGCGCGGUAAGUCGGGUGUGAAAUCUCGGAGCUUAACUCCGAAACUGCAUUCGAUACUGCCGUGCUUGAGGACUGGAGAGGAGACUGGAAUUUACGGUGUAGCGGUGAAAUGCGUAGAUAUCUGGAGGAACACCGGUGGCGAAGGCGGCAUCCUGGACCAUUACUGACACUGAAAAGCGAAAGCCAGGGGAGCAAACGGG
Molecule: ribosomal RNA, 253 nt
Filed under: uncultured bacterium
Lineage: Bacteria
Description: partial 16S ribosomal RNA
Rfam family: Bacterial small subunit ribosomal RNA
Source: RNAcentral